CCAAUAGCGUAUAUUAAAGUUGUUGCAGUUAAAAAGCUCGUAGUUGAAUUUCGGGGUUAGUAGGUUGGUCAUGCCUCUGGUAUGUACUGGUCUCACUGAUUCCUCCUUCCUGAUGAACCGUAAUGCCAUUAAUUUGGUGUUGCGGGGAAUUUGGACUGUUACUUUGAAAAAAUUAGAGUGUUUAAAGCAAGCUAACGCUUGAAUACAUUAGCAUGGAAUAAUGAAAUAGGACGUUCGAUCCUAUUUUGUUGGUUUCUAGGAUUGACGUAAUGAUUAAUAGUGAUAGUUGGGGGCAUUAGUAUUCAAUUGUCAGAGGUGAAAUUCAUGGAUUUAUUGAAGACUAACUACUGCGAAAGCAUUUGCCAAGGAUGUUUUCAUUAAUCAAGAACGAAAGUUAGGGGAUCGAAGACGAUCAGAUACCGUCGUAGUCUUAACCAUAAACUAUGCCGACUAGGGAUCGGAUGAUGUUAAUUUUUUAAUGACUCAUUCGGCGCCUUACG
RNAcentral lists this ribosomal RNA (500 nucleotides) under uncultured Glomeromycotina. RNAcentral's name for it is "partial small subunit ribosomal RNA". It matches the Rfam family "Eukaryotic small subunit ribosomal RNA", at positions 591 to 1092 of the family's 1831-position model. Lineage: Eukaryota; Fungi; Glomeromycota. The record is from RNAcentral.